Molecule: ribosomal RNA, 439 nt
Filed under: uncultured bacterium
Lineage: Bacteria
Description: partial 16S ribosomal RNA
Rfam family: Bacterial small subunit ribosomal RNA
Source: RNAcentral
CUACGGGUCGCUGCAGUGAGGAAUAUUGCACAAUGGGGGGAACCCUGAUGCAGCAACGCCGCGUGGAGGAUGACGCAUUUCGGUGUGUAAACUCCUUUUAUAUGUCAAGAAAGUGACGGUAGCAUAUGAAUAAGCACCGGCUAACUCCGUGCCAGCAGCCGCGGUAAUACGGAGGGUGCAAGCGUUACUCGGAAUCACUGGGCGUAAAGGACGCGUAGGCGGGUUGGAAAGUCAGGUGUGAAAUCCUACAGCUUGACUGUAGAACUGCACUUGAAACUUCUAAUCUAGAGUAUGGGAGGGGGAGAUGGAAUUAGUGGUGUAGGGGUAAAAUCCGUAGAUAUCACUAGGAGUACCUAAAGCGAAGGCGAUCUCCUGGAACAUUACUGACGCUAAGGCGUGAAAGCGUGGGGAGCAAACAGGAUUAGAUACCCCCGUAGUC